RNAcentral lists this ribosomal RNA (292 nucleotides) under uncultured bacterium. Its description in RNAcentral is "partial 16S ribosomal RNA". It matches the Rfam family "Bacterial small subunit ribosomal RNA", at positions 505 to 796 of the family's 1533-position model. The record is from RNAcentral.
GUGCCAGCAGCCGCGGUAAUACGGAGGGUGCAAACGUUGCUCGGAAUCAUUGGGCGUAAAGCGCACGUAGGCGGCCUAUCAAGUCGGGCGUGAAAGCCCUCGGCUUAACCGAGGAAGUGCGUUCGAAACUAAUAGGCUUGAGUACGGGAGAGGAUCGCGGAAUUCCCGGUGUAGAGGUGAAAUUCGUAGAUAUCGGGAGGAACACCAGUGGCGAAGGCGGCGAUCUGGACCGAUACUGACGCUGAGGUGCGAAAGCGUGGGGAGCAAACAGGAUUAGAAACCCUCGUAGUCC